GGCGCCAUGGCUUAGUGGUAAAGCGCCUGUCUAGUAAACAGGAGAUCCUGGGUUCG
Molecule: transfer RNA, 56 nt
Filed under: Ciona intestinalis (vase tunicate)
Lineage: Eukaryota; Metazoa; Chordata; Ascidiacea; Phlebobranchia; Cionidae
Rfam family: tRNA
About the family: Transfer RNA (tRNA) molecules are approximately 80 nucleotides in length.
Source: Rfam by way of RNAcentral